This 497-nucleotide ribosomal RNA is filed under the name uncultured bacterium. RNAcentral describes it as "partial 16S ribosomal RNA". It matches the Rfam family "Bacterial small subunit ribosomal RNA", at positions 28 to 507 of the family's 1533-position model. The record is from RNAcentral.
GAUGAACGCUGGCGGCGUGCCUAACACAUGCAAGUCGAACGAACGGACGAGAAGCUUGCUUCCCUCAUGUUAGCGGCGGACGGGUGAGGAACACGUGGAUAACCUACCUAUAAGACUGGGAUAACGUCGGGCGACCGGAGCUCAUACCGGACAAUAUUUUGAACCGCAUGGUUCAAAAGUGAUAGACGGUCUUGAGGGCACUUAUAGCUUGAUCCGCGCUGGUUUAGCUAGUUGGUAAGGUAACGGCUUACCAAGGCAACGAUGCAUAGCCGACCUGAGAGGGUGACCGGCCACACUGGAACUGAGACACGGUCCAGACUCCUACGGGAGGCAGCAGUAGGGAAUCUUGCGCAAUGGGGGAAAGCCUGACGGAGCAACGCCGCGUGAGUGAUGAAGGUCUUCGGGUCGUAAAACUCUUUUAUUGGGGAAGAACACCUGUGUGAUAAUCUGUGCACAUCUUGACGGUACCGAAUCAGAAAGCCACGGCUAACUACGUG